Molecule: transfer RNA, 83 nt
Filed under: Nitrososphaerota archaeon
Lineage: Archaea; Thermoproteati; Nitrososphaerota
Also listed under: 3 other names
Description: Thaumarchaeota archaeon tRNA-Ser
Rfam family: tRNA
About the family: Transfer RNA (tRNA) molecules are approximately 80 nucleotides in length. Their secondary structure includes four short double-helical elements and three loops (D, anti-codon, and T loops).
Source: RNAcentral
GCAGAGGUCGCCUAGCCCGGUAGGGCGCGGGCCUUGAGAGCCUGUGUGCCUAGCACGCGGGGGUUCAAAUCCCCCUCUCUGCG